RNAcentral lists this ribosomal RNA (150 nucleotides) under Mantidactylus melanopleura. Its description in RNAcentral is "partial 16S ribosomal RNA". The record is from RNAcentral. Lineage: Eukaryota; Metazoa; Chordata; Amphibia; Anura; Mantellidae.
CCACGAGGGUUAGACUGUCUCCUUUUUCAAAUCAGUGAAAUUAAUCUCCCCGUGAAGAAGCGGGGAUACUCAUAUAAGACGAGAAGACCCCAUGGAGCUUCAAACCCAACUACACCCCUAGCUCUUAUAGCCCCACAACCCCCCCCCCCC